RNAcentral lists this ribosomal RNA (497 nucleotides) under uncultured bacterium. RNAcentral's name for it is "partial 16S ribosomal RNA". It matches the Rfam family "Bacterial small subunit ribosomal RNA", at positions 28 to 507 of the family's 1533-position model. The record is from RNAcentral.
GAUGAACGCUGGCGGCGUGCCUAAUACAUGCAAGUCGAGCGAACAGACGAGGAGCUUGCUCCUCUGACGUUAGCGGCGGACGGGUGAGUAACACGGGGAUAACCUACCUAUAAGACUGGGAUAACUUCGGGAAACCGGAGCUAAUACCGGAUAAUUUAUUGAACCGCAUGGAUCAAUCGUGAAAGACGGUUUUGCUGUCACUUAUGGAUGGAUCCGCGCCGCAUUAGCUAGUUGGUAAGGUAACGGCUUACCAAGGCAACGAUGGGAAGCCGCCCUGAGAGCGUGAUCGGUCAGACUGGAACAGAGACACGGUCCCGACUCUUGGGGGAGGCAGCAGUAGGGACUCCUCCGGGAGGGAGGAGAGGUUGAUGUAGCAACGUCGCGUGAGGGAUGAAGGUCUUCGGAUCGGUAAGCGCUGAUAUUAGUAAAGAAGAAAUGUUUAUGUAACUGUGCUCGUAAUGACGGUACCGAAUGAGAAAGCCCCGGCUAACUCCGUG